CUUGACGGUACCUCAUCAGAAAGCCACGGCUAAAUACGUGCCAGCAGCCGCGGUAAUACGUAGGGGGCAAGCGUUUUCCGGAAUUAUUGGGCGUAAAGCGCGCGUGGGCGGUCUUUUAAGUAUGAUGUGAAAGCCCACGGCUCAACCGUGGAGGGUCAUUGGAAACUGGGGGACUUGAGUGCAGAAGAGGGGAGCGGAAUUCCACGUGUAGCGGUGAAAAGUGUAGAGAUAUGGAGGAACACCAGUGGGGAAGGGGGCUCUCUGGUCUGUAACUGACGCUGAGGGACGAAAGCGUGGGGAGCGAACACGAUUAGAUACCCCGGUAGUCCACGCCCUAAACGAUGAGUGAUAAGUGUU
Molecule: ribosomal RNA, 357 nt
Filed under: uncultured bacterium
Lineage: Bacteria
Description: bacterial SSU rRNA
Rfam family: Bacterial small subunit ribosomal RNA
Source: RNAcentral